RNAcentral lists this ribosomal RNA (524 nucleotides) under Yarrowia lipolytica. Its description in RNAcentral is "eukaryotic LSU rRNA". It matches the Rfam family "Eukaryotic large subunit ribosomal RNA", at positions 51 to 656 of the family's 3401-position model. Lineage: Eukaryota; Fungi; Ascomycota; Dipodascomycetes; Dipodascales. The record is from RNAcentral.
CGGAGGAAAAGAAACCAACAGGGAUUGCCUCAGUAACGGCGAGUGAAGCGGCAAAAGCUCAAAUUUGAAACCCUCGGGAUUGUAAUUUGAAGAUUUGGCAUUGGAGAAAGCUAACCCAAGUUGCUUGGAAUAGUACGUCAUAGAGGGUGACAACCCCGUCUGGCUAACCGUUCUCCAUGUAUUGCCUUAUCAAAGAGUCGAGUUGUUUGGGAAUGCAGCUCAAAGUGGGUGGUAAACUCCAUCUAAAGCUAAAUACUGGUGAGAGACCGAUAGCGAACAAGUACUGUGAAGGAAAGGUGAAAAGAACUUUGAAAAGAGAGUGAAAUAGUAUGUGAAAUUGUUGAUAGGGAAGGAAAUGAGUGGAGAGUGGCCGAGGUUUCAGCCGCCCCUCGUGGGCGGUGUACUGCCGACGCCGAGUCAUCGAUAGCGAGACGAGGGUUACAAAUGGGAGCGCCUUUCGGGCGUUCUCCCCUAACCCUCCACACUGCCACCGACGACAUAAUCCACCCAUUUCACCCGUCUUG